UACGUAGGUCCCGAGCGUUGUCCGGGUUUAUUGGGCGUAAAGCGAGCGCAGGUGGUUUAAUAAGUCUGAUGUAAAAGGCAGUGGCUCAACCAUUGUGUGCAUUGGAAACUGUUAGACUUGAGUGCAGUAGAGGAGAGUGGAAUUCCAUGUGUAGCGGUGAAAUGCGUAGAUAUAUGGAGGAACACCGGUGGCGAAAGCGGCUCUCUGGACUGUAACUGACACUGAGGCUCGAAAGCGUGGGGAGCAAACAGG
RNAcentral lists this ribosomal RNA (252 nucleotides) under uncultured microorganism. Its description in RNAcentral is "partial 16S ribosomal RNA". It matches the Rfam family "Bacterial small subunit ribosomal RNA", at positions 524 to 776 of the family's 1533-position model. The record is from RNAcentral.